GUAUUACUGAAGAGUCCCAAAUUAGGACGAAGCGGAUGUCCAGUAC
Molecule: non-coding RNA, 46 nt
Filed under: Trichobilharzia regenti
Lineage: Eukaryota; Metazoa; Platyhelminthes; Trematoda; Strigeidida; Schistosomatidae
Source: RNAcentral